GGACCCGCACAAGCGGUGGAGCAUGUGGUUUAAUUCGACGCAACGCGAAGAACCUUACCUGGGUUAAAUCCCAGUUGCAAAGUGCAGAGAUGCACUCCCCUCGCAAGAGGCGGCUGGGAAGGUGCUGCAUGGCUGUCGUCAGCUCGUGUCGUGAGAUGUUGGGUUAAGUCCCGCAACGAGCGCAACCCUUACCACUAGUUGCCAGCAUUUAGUUGGGCACUCUAGCGGAACUGCCGGUGAUAAACCGGAGGAAGGUGGGGAUGACGUCAAGUCAUCAUGGCCUCUAUGUCCAGGGCUACACACGUGCUACAAUGGCCGGUACAAACCGUUGCGAACUCGCGAGAGGGAGCCAAUCGGAAAAAGCCGGUCUCAGUUCGGAUUGGAGUCUGCAACUCGACUCCAUGAAGUUGGAAUCGCUAGUAAUCGCAGAUCAGCACGCUGCGGUGAAUACGUUCCCGGGUCUU
This 464-nucleotide ribosomal RNA is filed under the name uncultured bacterium. Its description in RNAcentral is "bacterial SSU rRNA". It matches the Rfam family "Bacterial small subunit ribosomal RNA", at positions 917 to 1382 of the family's 1533-position model. The record is from RNAcentral.